This is a long non-coding RNA of Dermochelys coriacea (leatherback sea turtle), 592 nucleotides long. RefSeq lists it as uncharacterized. The record is from RefSeq and is a predicted model, not a curated record. The transcript is spliced from 3 exons. NCBI's taxonomy places the organism in Eukaryota, Metazoa, Chordata, Testudines, Dermochelyidae.
GCUUGCAAAGUCUGCAGUCACUCCCUGGGAGAAGAGAGGAGUGUUUGGAGACUACAGGAACAGAAAGAAUCCAGUCUUGAUUUCAACAGGGCCACGAUUUCACCCAAGUGCUUCACAUGAUGGAGAAUCAACAACAUCUUUUGGAGAACCAACAUGGUGUGCUGGGAUCAUAUCAUUUUGGAAAUGUGGGAUGACCAGCAGUGGCUUCAGAAUGUUUGAAUAAGGAACCAGACCUUCACGGAGCUGUAUGUUGAGCUAGCACCAACUUCCUAAUGCUAGAACACUUGGUUCUGACAAGCCAUGCCGUUUCAAAAGUGGGUUGCUAUUGACUUGUGGAAGCUGGCUAUUCCAGACAGCUAUAGGUCUGGUGCAAACCACUUUGGAGUUGGAAAGUCCACUGUCAGGGUCAUGGUUGUGCAGCUUUGUGAAGCAAUAAACACUGAUUUACUCACGGGUGGCUCCAUAAGAAAAGUUCCAGAAAUAAUUGGUGGAUUUGGGAAGAUGAUGUUUCUGAACUGUGCAGAGGGCACUGAUGGCACUCAUAUCCCAGUACUUUGCCAACCACAAGGUGAACCUAAGUAUGUAAAAUGAA